This is a long non-coding RNA of Balaenoptera ricei (Rice's whale), 1858 nucleotides long. RefSeq lists it as uncharacterized. The record is from RefSeq and is a predicted model, not a curated record. The transcript has 2 exons. NCBI's taxonomy places the organism in Eukaryota, Metazoa, Chordata, Mammalia, Artiodactyla, Balaenopteridae.
GUGGCGGCGGCCUUCCCGGUAGCGCGCGGCUGUUGCGGUCGAAGACUUGGGGUGAAAGCUGCUCUCAGCUCGACCCGACGCGGGCCCCGCCGCCCGGGGUUCCUCGCGCCUCGCCGCACGGAGUCCCCCUCGCCCCGCUGCCCGGGGUUCCCACAGACUCCCCACCCCCUGGGCGACCAGUUCCUGGGUGGCGGGCUGCUAAGGGAGGAGCUCUUUCGGAGAUAGGUGCUUUCAAACCCCGCUCCCGUUUUUUUAAGCUCCAAAUAAGCAAGGAUUCUUUUUUCCCGGUUGAAAUGGGUUGCCACAUUUAUAUUGACUCAUUUAUUGCUGUAAAAUGUACCAUUUUAACCACUUUCAAGCGUGCAGUUCUGUGGCAUUAAGUACCUUUAUAUCGCUGGGCAACCAUCCCCACCCUCCGUCUCCCGAACGUUUUCAUUUUCUUAAACUGGAACUCUAUUCCUUACAGAGUAACUCCCAAUUUCCCCCUUCCCCUUGUAAAAAUUUAUUUUUAGUUUUAAAAUGAUUCAGGUGUCAGUGAAGAUAGGAGUAUGUGAUAUAAAUUCUCCCACUCUGGGUGCUGCCCCCCCAGUUCUGUUCCUGGAAGUAUCAGCAAAUAGCUUUCUUCCUCUUAGGUGUUUCUUAGAGAUCAUCUCCGAUGAUCUAGACUUGCCAUAACUUGUCCACCGCGUCCCCUGUUGGUUGACAGUUGGGUUGUUACCAAUUUUUGGACACAAGCUGCUUUUUUGUGCAAGUGUGAGUUCUUCUGUAGGAGAAAUCUCUGGAAUUGGCGUUGCUGGGCCCAGCAGGAUGUGCCUAAAGUAAUGUUGAUAGCUCUUGGCAAGUUCCCUCUGGAAGUUCCAUUGAUCGUUGAAGCCCAACCACCAAAGUAAGGGAGCCCGAACCUUCCCCAGCACGGCGGCUCGCCCUCCGCCUGACACAUGAAAAAUGGUAUCUCACUGACGUUUACAGCUGUGUUUCUGAUGGUUGUUAUUUUAAGUUUUUCUUGGAAUCAUUUUUCGGUUUCAUGCAAAGCCACUGAAACUUCUUUGAAGAGUUGCUGGUGUAUUGCUCUGGACAGCGGUCGCGGUGUGUUCUCUGAGCCACAGAAGAAAGGUCACCCGUGAACCUCAGUGAUGUAUGCUGUGCCGUGGUAGUGAUGUGAGGGACAGCGCAGACGUUCAUGACACAUCUGUUUUGCGUCAGGUGAGGACACAGCAGGAAGACACCAGCCGUGAACCUGGAAGGGGCUCUCACCAGACACUGAAUCUGCCAGCACCUUGAUCUUGGACUUCCAGCCUCCAGAACUGUGAGAGCUCAGUGGUAUUUGUUUAAGCCGCCAGCCUGUGGUGGCGUUUGGCAUAGCAUCCUGAACAGACUAAGACAGUACUACAUGUACGUGAUUUAGAGAGUGAAUUACCAGAUCCCCUUCUAUACCCCCCACCCAGGUUUCAGCUCACCAAAGGCAGCCACUUUUAAAUCUCUUAUUUUUCUCCGUGUUUCUAAAUAAUCUGCUUAUUUUCCCUCUUUUUUUCUCUCUUUCCUUUAUUUCCGUUUUCGAUGGUGUCUGUUGAUUACCACCAAGUAGGAAUGAGGAAUUCUCUUCCAACCCCACCACAGUCCUUCCUCCCCCGUACAGUUACAUGUUCUCAGUGUUAUGCUCGUGUAAACCAUGUUCACGGUUGAACAUGUAGGCAUAAAUGCCUGACUGUAUGCAUGUGGGCAAAGGCUCCCUUAUGUAGUGGGGAACCUUGAACAAACAAGCCCCCUGAAAGAGGGCUGGACGUAGACCCGCAGGCUGACAUGGUGAGCCCCAGCUCUCCUGAAUGGUCAAUCAACAUGCAUGUAUAAGAUAAACUCA